Molecule: RNase P RNA, 346 nt
Filed under: uncultured Veillonella sp.
Lineage: Bacteria; Bacillati; Bacillota; Negativicutes; Veillonellales; Veillonellaceae
Description: Bacterial RNase P class A
Rfam family: Bacterial RNase P class A
About the family: Ribonuclease P (RNase P) is a ubiquitous endoribonuclease, found in archaea, bacteria and eukarya as well as chloroplasts and mitochondria. Its best characterised activity is the generation of mature 5'-ends of tRNAs by cleaving the 5'-leader elements of precursor-tRNAs. Cellular RNase Ps are ribonucleoproteins.
Source: RNAcentral
AAAGACGGUUGCGAGUCCAUAGGACUCGAGGAAAGUCCGAGCUCCAUAGGGCAGGAUGCCAGAUAACGUCUGGCGAGGGUAACCUUAGGGAAAGUGCCAUAGAAAAGGAAACCGCCACGUCAGUGGUAAGGGUGGAAAGGUGAGGUAAGAGCUCACCGGGUCUUAUAGCAAUAUAGGAUGCCGUACGCCUUAUGGGUUGUAAGGUCAUGUAUACCGGCGCAUGUAGGAUUGCUCGUCCGAUGCCGGGGGGUAGACCGCUAGAGCUUACUGGUGACAGUAAGACGAGAUAAAUGACAGACGCUCCCGUGCAAACGGGAGUACAGAACCCGGCUUAUAGGCAGGCUGC